AGAGUUUGAUCCUGGCUCAGAACGAACGCUGGCGGCAUGCCUAACACAUGCAAGUCGAACGAGGUUUCCGCUUCGGCGGGGGCCUAGUGGCGCACGGGUGAGUAACGCGUGGGAACCUGCCCUGUGGUACGGAAUAACUCCGGGAAACUGGAGCUAAUACCGUAUGCGUCCUGCGGGACAAAGAUUCAUCGCCAUGGGAUGGGCCCGCGUAGGAUUAGCUUGUUGGCGGGGUAACGGCCCACCAAGGCUUCGAUCCUUAGCUGGUCUGAGAGGAUGAUCAGCCACACUGGGACUGAGACACGGCCCAGACUCCUACGGGAGGCAGCAGUGGGGAAUAUUGGACAAUGGGCGCAAGCCUGAUCCAGCAAUGCCGCGUGAGUGAUGAAGGCCUUCGGGUUGUAAAGCUCUUUCGCACGCGACGAUGAUGACGGUAGCGUGAGAAGAAGCCCCGGCUAACUUCGUGCUAGCCGCCGCGGUAAUC
This 481-nucleotide ribosomal RNA is filed under the name uncultured bacterium. Its description in RNAcentral is "bacterial SSU rRNA". It matches the Rfam family "Bacterial small subunit ribosomal RNA", at positions 8 to 525 of the family's 1533-position model. The record is from RNAcentral.